Molecule: ribosomal RNA, 408 nt
Filed under: uncultured Methylomirabilota bacterium
Lineage: Bacteria; Methylomirabilota (SeqCode)
Description: bacterial SSU rRNA
Rfam family: Bacterial small subunit ribosomal RNA
Source: RNAcentral
CGUGGAGACAGGUGGUGCAUGGCUGUCGUCAGCUCGUGUCGUGAGAUGUUGGGUUAAGUCCCGCAACGAGCGCAACCCUCACCUCUUGUUGCCACCAGGUCAUGCUGGGCACUCUAGAGGAACUGCCCCGGUCAACGGGGAGGAAGGGCGGGGAUGACGUCAAGUCAUCAUGCCCCUUACGUCCUGGGCUACACACGUGCUACAAUGGCCGGUACAAAGGGAUGCCACACCGCGAGGUAGAGCUAAACCCAAAAAGCCGGUCUAAGUGCAGAUUGGAGUCUGCAACUCGACUCCAUGAAGGAGGAAUCGCUAGUAUCGCGUAUCAGCACGACGCGGUGAAUACGUUCCCGGGCCUUGUACACACCGCCCGUCGCACCACGAAAGCCCGCUGUACUCGAAGUCGCUGAG